RNAcentral lists this Y RNA (107 nucleotides) under Jaculus jaculus (lesser Egyptian jerboa). RNAcentral's name for it is "Y RNA (ENSJJAG00000006680.1)". It matches the Rfam family "Y RNA". From Rfam's summary of the family: Y RNAs are components of the Ro ribonucleoprotein particle (Ro RNP), in association with Ro60 and La proteins. The Y RNAs and Ro60 and La proteins are well conserved, but the function of the Ro RNP is not known. Lineage: Eukaryota; Metazoa; Chordata; Mammalia; Rodentia; Dipodidae. The record is from Rfam by way of RNAcentral.
GGCUGGUCCGAAGGUGGUGGGUUAUCUCAAUUGAGUGUUCACAGUCGGUUACAGACUGUUGUUCUGCGCUUUCCCUCCUUCUCACUACCGCCCUUGGCUAGUCUGAG